RNAcentral lists this ribosomal RNA (253 nucleotides) under uncultured bacterium. Its description in RNAcentral is "partial 16S ribosomal RNA". It matches the Rfam family "Bacterial small subunit ribosomal RNA", at positions 524 to 776 of the family's 1533-position model. The record is from RNAcentral.
UACGUAGGGUGCAAGCGUUGUCCGGAAUCAUUGGGCGUAAAGCGUGCGUAGGCGGCUCGGUAAGUCCGCUCUGAAAGUCCCGGGCUCAACCCUGGGAUGCGGGUGGAUACUGCCGGGCUCGAGUCCGGAAGAGGCGAGUGGAAUUCCCGGUGUAGCGGUGAAAUGCGCAGAUAUCGGGAGGAACACCAAUGGCGAAGGCAGCUCGCUGGGACGUGACUGACGCUGAGACGCGAAAGCGUGGGGAGCAAACAGG